CCCAGACAUGAAGCACAUUUCUGGAGGCUCCACUGGCCCAUGAGUGUGAUUCAUUCUCAGACUCUCAGGAAGGUUGUGUAUUAGCCACCAGCAGCUUAAUUCAUUGAGGCGAACCAUAACUGAUGGAUCAUCUCAGCUGCUUUAGAGGUGCAGAAAUUCAAAUGAACUCUUAACAAUAUGGUUGCUGAGCAAAUACGAAUUCUCAACACAAAGAACUUCACUAUAAGAAAUUUUAGAGGAAAUCAUUGAAAUUAAAGCAAAAUGAUGCCAGAUGGAAACUUGGAUCAACAGGAAGGAGUGAAUAGCACUGGAAAGGGAGACAGGGAUGGAAGUUUAUUCUCUUCCUUGUUUCAUCAAGUAUAAUAUUUAAACAUCAUUUAUGUCUCUAUCCAUUAACACAUUUUCAACAUCUGCUGGGUAUUUAAAUCACUUCUCUGAGCACAAGGGCGGUCCCUCGUGCCACCUGGAAUGCAGCUGGCUGGCCUUCAGCGAUCCCUGAUGCCAUGUGGGGCUCCCACGGCCCGCAUCGCCACAGUCACGGCCGGCCCCAGGAACUCCGUCUACUAACUCACUUCUCAUCCAGGAACUCUAUACGCCGCUCUUGGGCAAGUAAACAGUAUGACAUUUCUAAAAAAUAAUUCUAUAAUUUUUAUUAAGAGGCUUCAAAAUGCUUAUGUCAUUGUAAUUUCCUUAGGAUUUGCCAUAAGAAAAUAAUUUGAAAUGUGAAGAGAGGUUUACAAACAAUUAUGUUAAUUACAGGAUUAUCUGCAAUAUAAAACAUCAGAAACCUAAAAGCUUCAUAAAGGAAACUUUGCAUAAAAUAAUUAUUACAUAAAUUAGGAUAUAUUUAUACAACAAAAAAGUAGGUAGCCAUUUGUAGUAUGGGUUUUCCUUAUAAUACGGUUUCAUGUAUUUUUAAAAAUGUAAAAAUAAAGCAAUUAGAAACACAUCAAAUAUAGUUAUUUAUGAGUCAUAAAAUUGUAACUGAUAUUUUACUUUAGUUCUUAUGUAUAUUAUCAAAAUAAGCAUACAUUUAAUAUUACCUUUUUUCUUAAAACAAAGAUAUAUGGUAAGUGUAAAACUUCAACCCUGAGAAUUUCUCCAUGUACUUUUUGCUCACUGGAUAACCUCUUGCUUUCCUAAUUCAUAACUAUAAAGAAACUUACAUAGUUUUAUUUCAAUUAACAAAAAGAAAGCUGGACGUGCCUUCUUUAAAGUUUACGAGACUGAAAUCUUUGGAUUUCAUACUGAAUGGCAAAUUAGGUUCCCAAUUUCUCUGACUGAAUAAUGCUUUGAACGUCUUGAGAAGUUUAAAUUACUUAGAAACAAACUCAACAUGAAAGGACCUUAGAAACAAUAAUGGCAGAAAAUUGUGGCAGAAAUAAAUACAAAUUACAAUGUCUGAUUAUGGUCUGUGUAAAAUCCAAAAAGGUAAUCAGGUUACCCAGCACCAAAUGAAGAAUCAUCUUAAUUAGCACGAAUGCAUUUCAACCAGUAAAAUGAAUUGAAGACUUCUACUUUGAAAUUUGCAAUUACAAGAUAAAAAGUCUAAAAGAAAUAGUCUUUUUUUCUCAUUCCAGUAAUUCUGUAAUUCUAUUUCAAAGCUCUCUUAUUAAAGUGCCACUCUGAAUUUUCAACUUUUUGGGUUUUACUUAAAUCAUAAGCAAUGUACAAAUAUAUUUAUUAGUGUAUUCCAUGAUUUUAAAAGUUUAUAGCCUUUAAUUACUACACACAUAUAAAUUUCUAAGAAAAAUAGUUUGUUUCUAAAAAGCUUGACCUACUGGUUAUGUUUUUAAUUAUAUAGCAGCUAUAUUAAAUAUGCAAAAAUAUAUACACAUGUACCCAAAUAACUACAUUUGUCUGUUUACAUAAUCAUCUUAAACAAAUGUUUGAGUUUUCAAAUAAUUUACCUUCUUAGAAAUAUAAUCAAUAUAGUAGUUCAAGAAAUGUGAAAUUGAAGACUGCAAAUUAGAUUAUUUCAUCCUGAAUGAAAAAAAAAUACAAUUCUGUACUGCUAUAUGAGUAGCAAGUAGUAAGAUAAAAUGUGUCUAAAAAGAAAUUGAAGACUGCAAAUUAGAUUAUUUCAUCCUGAAUGAAAAAAAAAUACAAUUCUGUACUGCUAUAUGAGUAGCAAGUAGUAAGAUAAAAUGUGUCUAAAAAGAGAGAAAUACAUGCCAGUAUACAUUUAGAGGUCAUAGAAUGUUCAAAACCAUACAGUUUAAACUCCAUUUAAUUUUGCUUUUCUUAGAUAGCAUUCUCUUUCUUGGAAGCAAUUAGAGUCACUGGAAUCUGAGAUUCAAUCAUGCAUUUGAUGCUAGCUGAUGAUGUAUAUGGAUUACCUUAUUCACAUGAUGUAAAGAGAAAAAAAUAAUUGACCUAAUUUUAGUAUUCCAUUUCCUUUUUGCCAGCUCCCAUCUGCGAUUAUUUCUCUUUUUCUUACAAAUGAUAGGAGAAGAAUAAAAAGGAUCUGGCAGAACCCCUCCCUCUCCAAAACAAUCUCUCCAACCUGAAAAGAUCUCCUGAACUUUAAACAUAUAUUUUAAAUUACCCAUUUCUAUAUUUCCUUAGAUGUCUUACAGAGAUUUUGAAUUUAAAAUAGAUAAAACAGUGUAUUU
This is a long non-coding RNA of Pongo pygmaeus (Bornean orangutan), 2615 nucleotides long. RefSeq lists it as uncharacterized. Lineage: Eukaryota; Metazoa; Chordata; Mammalia; Primates; Hominidae. The transcript has 4 exons. The record is from RefSeq and is a predicted model, not a curated record.